AUUAUUAAAACUCUUUUGGAAAAAAUAAAAUAAAUUAUUUAGUAAAAUUAAAAAUGAUAUAUUUAAUAAAUUUAACAAGGGGGAUUCCCUUUGGUUAGAUAUGAACUACGAAUUUGAUAAUUAAUAAUAUAAUAUUUAUAAAAUAAAUAUUUAUAAAUAAUAUUCAAUCUCUAAAUUACAACAUUGAUCUAAAAAUAGUCAAAUUUUGAAUCUUAAAAACUUGAUAAAAGGAGUCCAAAUUAAGAGGUAACUGAUUGUAAUUAUCACUUAAGAAUAAUUGACCAACUUUCCUUAAUAUACAGCUCUCGUCAUUUCCUAUCAUAAAAUUGAGAAAGACUUGAAUGCUUCCAUUUCUUGUGCUCGCGAGGAUUUGGGCUCAGUGAACUGGAAAGUGUAAAGGGCGAUCUUGAAGAAGCCCAGGAUGGACUUCGUCACAGCCGGGAGGUGAAUUUGCGUGUUUUGGAGGAAGGUUACCAUAUUUGUUGGAUAUGAUGUAGGUGACCACACCUUUGAAGCUUAUUGCCAAGAUUUGGCUCGAGAAAGAAAUGUUGCUGGGUCUUCUACUCGUCCAAAUUUGGCCAAACCUUAAUUUUUCUUCGUGUGAGCCUGGGAAAUGCCCUAUAGGCAAUUUGUUAGUUUCCUUGUUAUUUUCACAUUGUCUCCUGGUUUGGUACUUUGUUGUUUUUGAACUGGAUGUUAGUCUUUGUUGGUCGUUGUUCUUGUGAUUCCUUUAGAUGUCCAGAUCGUGUCAUGUUUUCUUUUUUUUUUGCUAGUUGAUUACACACGCACACGUGGGGAGUCGAACUCCCGACCUCCCGCAAGGGGGUACAAGAGCUCUACCACCACACCAACACCUUGUUGGCUGUCAUGUUUUCUUGUUGAAAUUUGGUGAAGUUGUUUCGGUUUAAGUACCAGGCUUUCUUUGUCAUUAUGCUCUUCUUCUGUUAUUAUCUUUGUCGCUUUAAGCUUGCCUGUAAGAGCA
RNAcentral lists this long non-coding RNA (982 nucleotides) under Daucus carota (carrot). RNAcentral's name for it is "long non-coding RNA (DCAR_LNC004694)". Lineage: Eukaryota; Viridiplantae; Streptophyta; Magnoliopsida; Apiales; Apiaceae. The record is from RNAcentral.